Molecule: non-coding RNA, 214 nt
Filed under: Devosia chinhatensis
Lineage: Bacteria; Pseudomonadati; Pseudomonadota; Alphaproteobacteria; Hyphomicrobiales; Devosiaceae
Source: RNAcentral
CCAUAUCGGAAUGUCGAAGGUUCCCGACGGGCAAAGGCCUUGAAGGGAUCAAAAGGGAACACGGUGCGGCGUACCCAUCAGGGACCAAAACCGUGGCUGCCCCCGCAACUGUAAGCGGAGAGCUCUUUCGGAACACCACUGGCCCAAAAGGCUGGGAAGGUCGGAAGCGCGAUGACCCGCGAGCCAGGAGACCUGCCAUCGACAUCAACGAAAC